GACGAACGCUGGCGGCGUGCUUAACACAUGCAAGUCGAGCGGUAAGGCCCUUUCGGGGGUACACGAGCGGCGAACGGGUGAGUAACACGUGGGUGACCUGCCCUCAGCUCUGGGAUAAGCCUGGGAAACCGGGUCUAAUACUGGAUAUGACUCCAUGACGCAUGUUGUGGGGUGGAAAGCCUUGUGCGGCUGAGGAUGGGCCCGCGGCCUAUCAGCUUGUUGGUGGGGUGAGGCCUACCAAGGCGACGACGGGUAGCCGGCCUGAGAGGGCGACCGGCCACACUGGGACUGAGACACGGCCCAGACUCCUACGGGAGGGCAGCAGUGGGGAAUCUUGCGCAAUGGGCGAAAGCCUGACGCAGCGACGCCGCGUGAGGGAUGACGGCCU
Molecule: ribosomal RNA, 388 nt
Filed under: uncultured bacterium
Lineage: Bacteria
Description: bacterial SSU rRNA
Rfam family: Bacterial small subunit ribosomal RNA
Source: RNAcentral